GAGCUUAGUCAGUAGAGCAUGAGACUCUUAAUCUAAGGGUCAUGGGUUUGAGCCCCAUGUUGGGCA
Molecule: non-coding RNA, 66 nt
Organism: Podarcis lilfordi (Lilford's wall lizard)
Lineage: Eukaryota; Metazoa; Chordata; Lepidosauria; Squamata; Lacertidae
Source: the annotation of a GenBank genome assembly